ACAGCUAUAAAGAUCUAGAUAACGAAUACAUUUUGCAAUUGUUGGGAAAAAAAGGCAGUAAAUUGAAUUACUUUGCAAUCUACAUUUCUCAUAGCAAAUUCAAUAAGCCCUGACACAUUUUUUGAUAAUACAGAAAUGAAAAGUUGAUGGACAAAAGAAUUUCACUCCGCCGUGGAGGGAGAGGCGGUGGUUGAAGUUGCCAUCGACGAGGGGGGCCUUUGCUGCUUACAUCAUGUGUGACUACUACUUCAAUCGCCUUUAUCUCUUCAAUCGCUCUCUGUCCAAAUUUUGGUAUGGGGACUGUUAAAUUGCUAAAAGGAGGAGAGAUGAGGCUGAAACUUCAUCUUACGUACAAAGCAACCAAGUCUUUUACAAAAGACAAAAUACAUAACGUAAAACACAACAUAACUACCCAUGUUCUCCAUAAAACACUUGCCCCACUAACACCUAAAAACUAGGAUAACCAACACACAUGACUCCACUAACUCUAAUAACUAAAAAACCAAAUCAGCAACAUGUGAAAAAGAAAAUAACUAUUUUAUCAACAAUCCCUCCCUUAAACUGAUGUUUGCUAACAUUCAGUUUAAAG
RNAcentral lists this long non-coding RNA (589 nucleotides) under Eucalyptus grandis. Its description in RNAcentral is "long non-coding RNA (EGRA_LNC001101)". Lineage: Eukaryota; Viridiplantae; Streptophyta; Magnoliopsida; Myrtales; Myrtaceae. The record is from RNAcentral.